Molecule: transfer RNA, 63 nt
Filed under: Engaeus lengana
Lineage: Eukaryota; Metazoa; Arthropoda; Malacostraca; Decapoda; Parastacidae
Description: tRNA-Asp
Source: RNAcentral
GUAAAAAUUAGUUAACCUAUAUAACAUAAGCCUGUCAAGCUUAAAUAAUCACAGAUAUUUUUA